GAUGAAGAACGCAGCGAAAUGCGAUAAGUAAUGUGAAUUGCAGAAUUCAGUGAAUCAUCGAAUCUUUGAACGCACCUUGCGCUCCUUGGUAUUCCGAGGAGCAUGCCUGUUUGAGUGUCAUUAAUAUAUCAACCUCUUCAAAUUUGUUUGAUGAGUUGUUGGAUAUGGGGGUUUGUUUUGCUGGCCUUCUUCUGAAAGGUCAGCUCCCCUGAAAUGCAUUAGCGGAACAAUUUGUGAAUCGUUCAUUGGUGUGAUAACUAUCUACGCUAUUGACGUGAAGCAAGUUCAGCUUCUAAUGGUCCAUUAACUUGGACAAAUUAUCAUUUAAUCUGACCUCAAAUCAGGUAGGACUACCCGCUGAACUUAAGCAUAUCAAUAAGCGGAGGA
RNAcentral lists this unclassified non-coding RNA (387 nucleotides) under soil metagenome. RNAcentral describes it as "partial contains 5.8S ribosomal RNA, internal transcribed spacer 2, and large subunit ribosomal RNA". The stretch from base 1 to 120 matches the Rfam family "5.8S ribosomal RNA", at positions 35 to 154 of the family's 154-position model. The record is from RNAcentral.